AGAUUGAACGCUAGCGGGAUGCUUUACACAUGCAAGUCGAACGGCAGCGCGGACUUCGGUCUGGCGGCGAGUGGCGAACGGGUGAGUAAUAUAUCGGAACGUGCCCAGUAGCGGGGGAUAACUACGCGGAAGCGUGGCUAAUACCGCAUACGCCCUACGGGGGAAAGGGGGGAUUCUUCGGAACCUCUCACUAUUGGAGCGGCCGAUAUCAGAUUAGCUAGUUGGUGAGGUAAAGGCUCACCAAGGCGACGAUCUGUAGCUGGUUUGAGAGGACGACCAGCCACACUGGGACUGAGACACGGUCCAGACUCCUACGGGAGGCAGCAGUAGGGAAUAUUGGACAAU
RNAcentral lists this ribosomal RNA (345 nucleotides) under uncultured soil bacterium. Its description in RNAcentral is "bacterial SSU rRNA". It matches the Rfam family "Bacterial small subunit ribosomal RNA", at positions 26 to 372 of the family's 1533-position model. The record is from RNAcentral.